RNAcentral lists this ribosomal RNA (383 nucleotides) under uncultured bacterium. Its description in RNAcentral is "bacterial SSU rRNA". It matches the Rfam family "Bacterial small subunit ribosomal RNA", at positions 376 to 774 of the family's 1533-position model. The record is from RNAcentral.
CGAAAGCCUGACGGAGCAAUACCGCGUGAGGGAUGAAAGCCUGUGGGUUGUAAACCUCUUUUCUCAAGGAAGAAGUUCUGACGGUACUUGAGGAAUAAGCAUCGGCUAACUCUGUGCCAGCAGCCGCGGUAAUACAGAGGAUGCAAACGUUAUCCGGAAUCACUGGGCAUAAAGCGUCUGUAGGUGGCUUAAUAAGUCAACUGUUAAAUCUUGAAGCUCAACUUCAAAAUCGCAGUCGAAACUAUUAGACUAGAGUAUAGUAGAGGUAAAGGGAAUUUCCAGUGGAGCGGUGAAAUGCGUAGAGAUUGGAAAGAACACCGAUGGCGAAGGCACUUUACUGGGCUAUUACUGACACUCAGAGACGAAAGCUAGGGUAGCAAAUG